AUUGAACGCUGGCGGCAGGCCUAACACAUGCAAGUCGAGCGGAUGAAGGGAGCUUGCUCCUGGAUUCAGCGGCGGACGGGUGAGUAAUGCCUAGGAAUCUGCCUGGUAGUGGGGGAUAACGUCCGGAAACGGGCGCUAAUACCGCAUACGUCCUGAGGGAGAAAGUGGGGGAUCUUCGGACCUCACGCUAUCAGAUGAGCCUAGGUCGGAUUAGCUAGUUGGUGGGGUAAAGGCCUACCACGGCGACGAUCCGUAACUGGUCUGAGAGGAUGAUCAGUCACACUGGAACUGAGACACGGUCCAGACUCCUACGGGAGGCAGCAGUGGGGAAUAUUGGACAAUGGGCGAAAGCCUGAUCCAGCCAUGCCGCGUGUGUGAAGAAGGUCUUCGGAUUGUAAAGCACUUUAAGUUGGGAGGAAGAGCAGUAAGUUAAUACCUUGCUGUUUUGACGUUACCAACAGAAUAAGCACCGGCUAACUUCGUG
Molecule: ribosomal RNA, 484 nt
Filed under: uncultured bacterium
Lineage: Bacteria
Description: partial 16S ribosomal RNA
Rfam family: Bacterial small subunit ribosomal RNA
Source: RNAcentral